Ornithodoros turicata is the source of this 3826-nucleotide RNA transcript. RefSeq lists it as uncharacterized. NCBI's taxonomy places the organism in Eukaryota, Metazoa, Arthropoda, Arachnida, Ixodida, Argasidae. The transcript is spliced from 6 exons. The record is from RefSeq and is a predicted model, not a curated record.
UGAACUGGUGCUGCGGAUGAACAGCCGUGCCAUGGAACCCUGUGCACUCCGCUCCGAAGGAAUCCGAGGCCCAUAGUGCAAGUAGCCGUUCGAGCGACCAUGAUGAGUACGGAGAGCCGUGUCAGACAUCCCCUUUGAAGACCUGCCCUGACGAGGAAACCAGGAAGUUAGUAGUUUCCGAGGCUUGCCUCAUGAAGCUGCUGAGCUGCUGCCACGUGUGCCUGAUCCCUGUCAUACCUCAACUUACUGUCGCGGGAUCAUGUGUCCUCCGCGGUGCUCUGCGCAGAUCGUCAUGUGACAGCACGGCAGAGCCAGCCGAUAUGGUGCAGUGUACUGACUGCAGCUGGCACUGUGUUCUCCGGCGAUGAAAGAUGGAAGUCACUCAAAAGGUUAGCCAGCUGUAGGACUUGAACCCCCAUCUUCUGGAUUACUGGUCCAGGGUUCUACCAGUUGGGCUAAGCUAACACACCUCCCCAGCGACUUUCAAGGGGACCGUGCGACACCUAAAGGGGGCGCGCUGCUCCGUCGCGACAGCGCCGCCAGUGGCGGUCUUGGACGUAUCCGACGGGAUACCACGCCGCCCGUGCUCUAUGCAUUCUCAAGUGGAACCGUAGCUUGCGUGGCGACCGCCGUAAUUACAAGGGCUAAUUUUCGAAGUGCAAAUAAUGUGGAACCUUUCUGGGGCACGAACUAAGUGAAUGGAGACAAACUGCACAGAAGCAACCACCGUAUUUAUAAUGCAUCGAACAGUACGGAAGGAGAACAGCCACUCGCGUCUGUCCGAUCAAAACACCUGUAAGUGAUACGUCGAGAGGAUGGUUACUUGACUCCUCACAAAAUCCUGGCUUGCUAGCGAAGGCAUAUACGUGUAUUCCUCUGACUCCAGCCAUUUGUAAUAUCAUGUUUCUGACUGAGUCUUCUAUUUCUUUCGUCCUCCUUGCACACACCUAGCUUCGUCACUGAAAUUUAUAUCGUGCGUCUGUUUUAUCCAUACAAAUAAACACGUGGGGUCACAACUUAUUGCCUGAACUUGUACUGCAGUUUUUCCAGUAUCUUCAGAUACAAUAAUGCUAAAGAGAUCCUCAAAGAAGAAAGUAUAUGAGUUCUUACCUUGGCUAUCGCCGUAGGCUUGCGGGACAACAGCUGUGAAAUGGUUGGUGAGUAAAUACUAAACCUUUUGGACAACGUAGAACUUCUGUUCUCACUGUGAGACUCGUCAUGCCGGAAGCAGUAUCGGCUCUGGGCACUGGCGAUGAAAAACCUCAAUCAUUAUCUUGAAGUAGGUUGCCGUUUGGUCGGUGCAUUUGACGGUGAUAUCCAGCGGCGUUUCACCGUCACGAAAGUGGCAGCUGUAAAUCAUUGAUUAUUUUGCAGGUCCUCAUUCAGUUUCAUUGAAACUAGAACAAAAGAAAUAGAAUAUAUUGGCUCAUGUCGUGCACACCUCAUACAAUGGCCAAAUGCGCGUCACAAAUGCUAUUAUGGCGCGCCACCAACGCUGGUAUUGGAAGCGUAGAAAUCACGAGAAAUUAAGCAUCUGGUCCCUAAUGAAGAGUUCUUUUAGGUGCUGGCACAGUUAGCGAUGCUGUGGCAAAAAAAGAUGCCCGCACUUCACAUGUAAACAAAGCUGGCUACCCGGCGGCUAUCAUGCAAGGUACUUUCUCCGGAGGCCGCAUCGCAGCGCCACCAGUUUGCCGCACAGUCCCUAUACACGCAGUCAUACGACGGGAUCGACGCAAGCGGCAACUGUUGUGUGUAUAAGUGAGAAAAUUGUAGGAGUGAGAGGGGGUUCAGUGAGCGAGAGUGUGGUUGAUGUGUCCGUUCAGAUUACGUGCCCUUGAAAGUCGCUGGGGAGGUGUGUUAGCUUAGGACAAUUGGUAGUGCCCUGGACCGGUAAUCCAGAAGAUGUGGGUUCGAGUCCUACAACCAGGGUGUCAAACCGCAAAAAAUACGGGUUCGGUUCGGGUUCGCGUUGUUUUGAUUUCGUUCCGGUUCAGUUCCGGUUCGGCCAGGCCAGAAAUUGAACCGGUUCGCAAACCGGUUCGCAGCCCCGAACCGGUUCGCGAACCAGUUCAACGCUUCCGUUAUAUAUGUUCCAUAAAACUGCUUUUAUCAGGAAAUGCGUGGCUAAUAGCAUACUGCUGUUGUCUGCAUUGACGUCUCUAGCGGUGAGGUAGCCCUUUAGUGAGAGAAAUGAGAAAUGGAUGAACACUUAUUGCAACUAGAGUUCACGCUGUUGAAGCGGUGUAGUCCUGCUACUUUCUGUUCCCAAAAUAUCUUUUUUCACACGCACAGUGCCAGCAAGAUACACUUAAAGGAAGCCUAAUAAGAUGGACAGCGUAACAUAGACGACAGUACUUGCUGGCACACUGCCUUCGCAGCGUGAAUCGAUCUGAAACCGUACUGAAAGAUGUCGAAAAUAAGCCUGCAAGCCUUACUCUGUCCGAGCUCACAGCAGUGUACUUGUUAAUCCACAACACAACGGCAAUGUGUCACGACGACACAACUGCGCUACCAAUAAGCAGAACCACAUUUACUUUUCAAAGCACGACCAAUCAACCAGGCACCGUUCUGUGUACGCUCCUUCUCCAGUUCUCAUGUUUCUGACUUGUUUAAUUUGUGCUGCUUACGUGUAAAGGGAAAUCUUGGGCGCUUAUUUGAUCACAUAUUCGUCCUGUAGAGCUAUAUAACUGGCCUACUCCAUUCGUGUUUCAUUCGUCCGCGUGGCACCUGGUCUCUGAAGAGUAGACGCCGCACCGCGUGCGUGGGGCGCUAGCCGCGGCACUCACAAGGACAACUGCGCUUCAACAUGUUAAAAAGACGCUGAAAGUAUACUUACUAUACGUCGUCGUCUGACUGCUACGUGAACAUUUCUGAAAUUUAUGAUAUAGGCGCGUGAUGAUGAUACCAAUGUGUCUUCGUUCGGGGAUAGAGAGGAACUCUUACGCUGACUUCUUUUAUGUCCGAACCGUGUUGUUGCGAACCGGUUACCGCUAUUAUUUUUUACGGUUCUGCUCCGGUUCGGGUUCAACAGUGUCAUGAAAAUUUCGGUUCGGGUUCGGGUUCGGUUCCGGCAAAAAUAACGGUUCGGGUACGGUUUUCGGUUCGGGUUCGGGUUCGGUUCGACACCCUGCCUACAACUGGCUAACCUUUUCAGUGACUUCCGUCUUUCAUUGUUAAUCUCUUAGGCAGAUUGAGGCUUUGUAUGUAUUUGUCCUUUUGUGUGUUGUUCCAACCUCAGAACAUCAGUUCUCUCUGUUACAGGCGAGGCGCAUCCAAGCAAGGCGCAGCACAUGCCACGUACCAUUGGUAUCGCUUGGUUCCAUGACUGGUACUCCUACAAGUUGCACUUGUACCGGUACUUCUUCAAGUUGUUCCCUGCAAUACGUGAGGUAUGGGAUGGACAGCGGCAGAAGCAUGUAGCUGCCUCAUACGGCUCCCCUGUUGCCCUUGCUGGAGUUGGCAGGGCAGAUUCUCCUGGCUUCAGCACGGGGUAUGGGUCGUGCAGUUUCCUGGACCUCAGCACAACAGCUACGAUUCAUCUUGAGCUAGUUCAGAUGCUUUUGACAGAUUCAUUUCGGUGAACAACACAGAUGAGCCAGCACACAGACGACGUGGGAAAAUGAACGAUACGUCGUGGAGAUGUUGAACGACAUCAAGCAAUCUAAGCUAAAGUGCGUUGAAGAUCUCUUUACUGACUUGCGUUUACUGUGAAACACGGCGUACACUUCACCCAUACAACUCCAUCGUCUGCUCCGUGGCAGUGCAAGCUUUUACAGCUGUUCCCUUGAAUGUAAAAAAUGCUGAAUGAUUUUAAUAAAUAAUCUGC